RNAcentral lists this ribosomal RNA (504 nucleotides) under uncultured bacterium. RNAcentral's name for it is "partial 16S ribosomal RNA". It matches the Rfam family "Bacterial small subunit ribosomal RNA", at positions 30 to 523 of the family's 1533-position model. The record is from RNAcentral.
AUUGAACGCUGGCGGUAUGCUUAACACAUGCAAGUCGAACGGUAACAGGCCUAGCUUGCUAGGUGCUGACGAGUGGCGGACGGGUGAGUAACGCAUGGGAAUCUGCCUUAUUGUGGGGGAUAACCUGGGGAAACUCAGGCUAAUACCGCAUGAGCCCUAAGGGGGAAAGGAUGGGAACGAAAGGCCAUUCGCGAUAAGAUGAGCCUGCGUUGGAUUAGCUAGUUGGUGGGGUAAAGGCCUACCAAGGCGAGGAUCCAUAGCUGGUCUGAGAGGACGAUCAGCCACACUGGGACUGAGACACGGCCCAGACUCCUACGGGAGGCAGCAGUGGGGAAUAUUGGACAAUGGGGGCAACCCUGAUCUAGCAAUACCGCGUGUGUGAAGAAGGCCUGCGGGUUGUAAAGCACUUUCAGUGGGGAGGAAGAGCUCGGUGCUAAUAGUAUCGAGUUGAGACGUUACCCACAGAAGAAGCACCGGCUAACUCUGUGCCAGCCGCCGCAGUAA